UGGAGGGCGGGGAAGGGGCGGAACGAAUCACCUUUCCUCUUUUGCGAUUGGUUACAGUCGGCCUCGAGUCCCGCCCCCCGCGCCGCCGCCAACAGGCGCCAGGGCCGUCACUCCCGCAGCCGCCGCGGCCGCCCCUCGCGCGGCCCCGCCCCCUCGCCGUGGCUGGGAUCUCGCGGGAAGAGCGGCGGGCACGGCGGUGGCUCGGGCUCCCGGCUGCGCGCGCGGAGCGGUAGGGUUCUCCUCACACAGGCGCUUCCUCGCGAAGGGGUUGGAGCUGCGGCGCCGCAGGCCUGGGCCGCCGCUUCUCUGCCUCAGGGCUCCCCGGUCCGCUCGCCCUCCGACGCUGCCCAGGCAGGCGUCGCCGAGGAGCAGAAGAGAGCUGUUCAUGCUUCCGUGUUCCCUCAGUCUGCUUCUGUGAGCCAAAGUGACGUGGCUGUAAGUUGGAGAAGUCCAGAGCUGACAUUUUGGGCACCGUGCAAAUUUGUAAAGUGUAUAAUAUUAAUAAGGCUUUUUGCCAAUGUUGCUGCUUCUACCUGUGUGUACUCAUGACGGGAAAAGGAUAUUUCAAGUAUCUAAAAAUUAUAAGGACAUGAGGUGAGGUGGGAAGCACAACAGAAUAAGGAAGUAGACAUGAGUAAAUCUUAUAACAUGUUAAGGAUGGGGGAUAUUUAAUUAUGUAGAGAUAAAUUAACCUUACAAACUUGUUUUUCAAGUUUGUUUCCUGAGUUUGAGAAAAGAAGUUUUCAGACUUUUAAGAGAAAUAUGAAGUGUGUGUUUUGUGGUGGAGGAGUAGGCAUUCUUAUUGCGGCACAGACUUCAGGAAAAGAUUUUUUUUUGUCAAACAUAUUCACAUCUAAUAGAUAUGUUUUUCUUGUGAGGCAUAUGAACCAUAAAACUGGUUUUAUAGUUUCAUUAUUACACUGCUGAAAAUGACAGUACCAAAGUGUCCUUGAAUUAUUAUUCAGAAUUCUAGAAUCAUAAAUGUGAUAUACUAAAGCAAUUUCUAGAAAGGAAGUCGUAAGACACAGAUUCCAGUCUUCAUUGUGCUAUUAACAGUGUGACCUUGAAUAAUCCCUUAGUUGCUCAGAGUCUCAGUUUCCAUAUAUACAGUGAAUAUAAAACUAAAGCAAGACAUGCCCCUGUCAGUAAUCAAUACAAGCUCCAGUUCCCAGGUUUGUGCUGCACUGAUUUUUAUGUUGCAGACUGGCAAUAUCGUAUGUAGAAAAGGGAGGGGAUAGAUACCAUGAGAGGGGCUGGUUCUCAGGGUUUACCUGAGUAGUUCUAUGUAACUUUUAUGUAUCAUACCUAAUUUUAGAUACAUGGGAAAUAUUUAAUUCCAGAACGUACAUUUAUGAAGGUAAAUGGUGUCCCUUGGACAGGUUAGCUUUGUCUGUUAAAGCAUUAUUGUUUAUUUUUUAUCCCUGGUUCUGUCCUAGAGUGUCUGUGUGAUAACAGCAUGUCCUUGUUGGACUCUGGAUUUGAUGAGGUUUCUAGUGCUUGUCUCUAGACUGUUUAGUUCAUCCUUACGCUACUGCAAAGGUGAUUUUUC
Long non-coding RNA from Oryctolagus cuniculus (rabbit), 1549 nucleotides. The record is from Ensembl. Lineage: Eukaryota; Metazoa; Chordata; Mammalia; Lagomorpha; Leporidae.